CUUCAACUUCAAAGGGAGGACCUACAGAUGAACAAGAAGUUGCAAUGCCGGAAUCAACAAGUGGCAGCAUAUUGGCUGAGAGCUGGAGUAUUGCUGUGCCAGAAGAGAACAGAAAUGAAACAAGUGACUUAUCAGCAUCUUCUGCUAACGGAUCUGCACCAAGUAGUACGGUUUAAAAGAGGAUACAGGUGAAAGAACAGCCUUACUUGAAACGGAUGGCAGAGAUAAUCGACGUGAAGAACGCCUGUCUAAUGGAAACACUAUAUGAAAGCUUGACAGCUUGAACUGGGAGCAAAAUAUCUAUUUGUUUUGUUUAAAUGCUGUGGACUUGUGUCUAGCUUAAAUGUGUUACUUUUCUAAUUCAUGUUUCAAAAGGGCUAAUAACUCGAGGCUUUGCUAUGUAAGAAGAGUAAUACCGGAUACAAAAUGCAGUAACUCUCGUAUGAGUUCCUUCUUUGACCAAAAAUGAGAGUUGGGAAAUGAGACAAAUUUAUGAGCUUGGGAGGGUUGGUGAGAACC
Lacerta agilis (Sand lizard) is the source of this 519-nucleotide long non-coding RNA. RefSeq lists it as uncharacterized. The transcript has 2 exons. NCBI's taxonomy places the organism in Eukaryota, Metazoa, Chordata, Lepidosauria, Squamata, Lacertidae. The record is from RefSeq and is a predicted model, not a curated record.